UGAGGUAGAAUGUUGGAUGACU
Molecule: microRNA, 22 nt
Filed under: Schmidtea mediterranea
Lineage: Eukaryota; Metazoa; Platyhelminthes; Tricladida; Dugesiidae
Description: sme-let-7a-5p
Gene: sme-let-7a-5p
Source: miRBase by way of RNAcentral